Molecule: ribosomal RNA, 229 nt
Filed under: uncultured bacterium
Lineage: Bacteria
Description: partial 16S ribosomal RNA
Rfam family: Bacterial small subunit ribosomal RNA
Source: RNAcentral
UGCGUAGGCGGCGUCGUAAGUCAGAAGUGAAAGCUCACAGCUUAACUGUGAAAUUGCUUUUGAUACUGCGGUGCUUGAAUUAGGUUGAGGUUAGCGGAAUGUGACAUGUAGCGGUGAAAUGCAUAGAUAUGUCAUAGAACACCAAUUGCGAAGGCAGCUGGCUAGGCCUAUACUGACGCUCAGGCACGAAAGCGUGGGGAGCGAACAGGAUUAGAUACCCUGGUAGUCC